Molecule: ribosomal RNA, 396 nt
Filed under: uncultured bacterium
Lineage: Bacteria
Description: partial 16S ribosomal RNA
Rfam family: Bacterial small subunit ribosomal RNA
Source: RNAcentral
AUACGUAGGGAGCGAGCGUUGUCCGGAAUUACUGGGUGUAAAGGGAGCGUAGGCGGGAGUGCAAGUCAGAUGUGAAAUACAUGGGCUCAACCCAUGGGCUGCAUUUGAAACUGCAUUUCUUGAGUGAAGUAGAGGUAAGCGGAAUUCCUGGUGUGGCGGUGAAAUGCGUAGAUAUCAGGAGGAACAACGGUGGCGAAGGCGGCUUACUGGGCUUUUACUGACGCUGAGGCUCGAAAGCGUGGGGAGCAAACAGGAUUAGAUACCCUGGUAGUCCACGCUGUAAACGAUGAUUACUAGGUGUGGGGGGACUGACCCCUUCCGUGCCGCAGUUAACACAAUAAGUAAUCCACCUGGGGAGUACGGCCGCAAGGUUGAAACUCAAAUGAAUUGACGGGG